Molecule: long non-coding RNA, 90 nt
Organism: Myripristis murdjan (pinecone soldierfish)
Lineage: Eukaryota; Metazoa; Chordata; Actinopteri; Holocentriformes; Holocentridae
Exons: 3
Source: RefSeq, a predicted model, not a curated record
CAAACAUUCAACAGGGAAAACUGAUAGAUCCUCUGAAGGCAACCAGCCUGGUGAUGAGGUUAACUACCCAGCAGUGAGUUUGGCUCCCAG